GACAGAGGUGCCGAGCGUUAGGCGGAAUCACUGGGCUUAAAGCGUGUGUAGGCGGACUUCUAAGUACCUCGUGAAAUCCCACGGCUCAACCGUGGAACUGCUUGGUAUACUGGUCGUCUUGAGCCAUCUAGGGGCUGUCGGAACAAAUGGUGGAGCGGUGAAAUGCGUAGAUAUCAUUUGGAACGCCAAAGGUGAAAACAGACAGCUGGGGAUGUGCUGACGCUGAGACACGAAAGCCAGGGGAGCGAACGGG
RNAcentral lists this ribosomal RNA (253 nucleotides) under uncultured bacterium. Its description in RNAcentral is "partial 16S ribosomal RNA". It matches the Rfam family "Bacterial small subunit ribosomal RNA", at positions 524 to 776 of the family's 1533-position model. The record is from RNAcentral.